AGCGGCGAACGGGUGAGUAACACGUGAGCAACCUGCCCCUGACUCCGGGAUAAGCGGUGGAAACGCCGUCUAAUACCGGAUACGACCCGCCACCUCAUGGUGGAGGGUGGAAAGUUUUUCGGUCAGGGAUGGGCUCGCGGCCUAUCAGCUUGUUGGUGGGGUAACGGCCUACCAAGGCGAUUACGGGUAGCCGGCCUGAGAGGGCGACCGGCCACACUGGGACUGAGACACGGCCCAGACUCCUGCGGGAGGCAGCAGUGGGGAAUAUUGCGCAAUGGGCGAAAGCCUGACGCAGCGACGCCGCGUGGGGGAUGACGGCCUUCGGGUUGUAAACCUCUUUUACCACCAACGCAGGCUCCCAGUUCUCUGGGGGUUGACGGUAGGUGGGGAAUAAGGACCGGCUAACUACGUGCCAGCAGCCGCGGUAAUACGUAGGGUCCGAGCGUUGUCCGGAAUUAUUGGGCGUAAAGAGCUCGUAGGCGGCGUGUCGCGUCUGCUGUGAAAGACCGGGGCUUAACUCCGGUUCUGCAGUGGAUACGGGCAUGCUAGAGGUAGGUAGGGGAGACUGGAAUUCCUGGUGUAGCGGUGAAAUGCGCAGAUAUCAGGAGGAACACCGGUGGCGAAGGCGGGUCUCUGGGCCUUACCUGACGCUGAGGAGCGAAAGCAUGGGGAGCGAACAGGAUUAGAUACCCUGGUAGUCCAUGCCGUAAACGUUGGGCGCUAGGUGUGGGGACUUUCCACGGUUUCCGCGCCGUAGCUAACGCAUUAAGCGCCCCGCCUGGGGAGUACGGCCGCAAGGCUAAAACUCAAAGGAAUU
Molecule: ribosomal RNA, 817 nt
Filed under: Nocardiopsis sp. MBTD_CMFRI_No01
Lineage: Bacteria; Bacillati; Actinomycetota; Actinomycetes; Streptosporangiales; Nocardiopsidaceae
Description: bacterial SSU rRNA
Rfam family: Bacterial small subunit ribosomal RNA
Source: RNAcentral